CACGUAGGGUGCGAGCGUUGUCCGGAAUUAUUGGGCGUAAAGAGCUCGUAGGCGGUGUGUCGCGUCGGCCGUGAAAACCUGCAGCUUAACUGUGGGCUUGCGGUCGAUACGGGCAUCACUGGAGUUCGGCAGGGGAGACUGGAAUUCCUGGUGUAGCGGUGAAAUGCGCAGAUAUCAGGAGGAACACCGUGGCGAAGGCGGGUCUCGUGGGCCGAUACUGACGCUGAGGAGCGAAAGCGUGGGGAG
RNAcentral lists this ribosomal RNA (246 nucleotides) under uncultured bacterium. RNAcentral's name for it is "partial 16S ribosomal RNA". It matches the Rfam family "Bacterial small subunit ribosomal RNA", at positions 524 to 768 of the family's 1533-position model. The record is from RNAcentral.